AAGAAGAUAAGCUAAGGCUAAGCUAGUGGGUUCAUACCUCAUUUAUGGAAUAGUUUCCUCUUUUUA
This 66-nucleotide transfer RNA is filed under the name Derotettix mendosensis. Its description in RNAcentral is "tRNA-Met". Lineage: Eukaryota; Metazoa; Arthropoda; Insecta; Hemiptera; Cicadidae. The record is from RNAcentral.